Molecule: ribosomal RNA, 420 nt
Filed under: Cyclospora cayetanensis
Lineage: Eukaryota; Apicomplexa; Conoidasida; Eucoccidiorida; Eimeriidae
Description: partial 18S ribosomal RNA
Source: RNAcentral
GAUAUCCGCGUUCCUAACGUCUUAACUGAAGGUCUAUGAGGAGAGAUUGUGGGGUGGUAUGACAGCAAGAACUUAUAUGAUCUUUUGAGGAACCUGUUACGAAAGCGUGCAUGCAAGCAGAAAUUGUUAGAUUCUUAAAGUGGAGACUGUCAAUUUAUGCUUACGGGGGUUGACAGGGAUAAUUAGUAAUGGAGCCAGGAUCUUUUGGUUGUUUUAUCUUGGUUCCAGGAUAGAAUAAUAAGGUACGACGUCAUAAGUCCCGCUGUUCGGACGAACUUUGUGAGAUAAAAAGAGUUUCAUUUUCAAGGCCUUGUGGUUGCGUGCGUCGCUUCGCGCCUUCCGAUGGCCUUCUUUCGAAAACACCGUUGGGUCCGCGUGUGGGAUGCCCGUUCCGGCCUACUGGGUGCUGUCUUUAGGUUG